UGGGGUUGGGAUUAAGACAUGCAAGUCGUGGGAAGGUGGUUGGACCUUUCCGGCGAACGGCUCAGUAACACGUGGUCAACCUGCCCCGUGGAGGCGGAUAACCACGGGAAACUGUGGAUAAACCGCCGUAGGGAAUGGCUUCUGGAAUGAGCUUUUCCCGAUAGAGGACAAGCCCUUGCCGCUUGUUCCUGCCACGGGAUGGGGCCGCGGCCGAUUAGCUCGUAGGUGGUGUAACGGACCACCUAGGCUAUGAUCGGUACGGGUUGUGAGAGCAAUACCCCGGAGAAGGGGACUGAGACAAGGCCCCUAGCGCUACGGCGUGCAGCAGUUACGAAACCUCCCCCAUGCGCGAAAAGCGUGAGGGGGUCCGCCCCAGUGGCAUCCUAACGGGUGCCUGUUGGCGAGCCUACAAAGCUCGUCGAGGAAGGAGAGGGCAAGACCGGUGCCAGCCGCCGCGGUAAAACCGGCUCUCCGACUGGGUCGGGACGUUUGUUGGGCCUAAAGCGUCCGUAAGCCGGGCUAGUAAGUCCCCGGUUAAAUCUAACGGCUUAACCGUUAGACUGCUGGGGAUACUACUAGCCUAGGGACUGGGAGAGGUGGGGGGUAUUCCCUGGGGAGCGGUAAAAUGCUAAGAUCCAGGGAGGACCCCCGGUGGCGAAGGCGCCCCCACUGGAACAGGUCCGACGGUGAGGGACGAAAGCCAGGGGAGCGAACCGGAUUAGAUACCCGGGUAGUCCUGGCCGUAAACGAUGGCGGCUAGGUGUUGCACGUGUCAUGAACUCGUGCAGUGCCGAAGGGAAGCCGUUAAGCCGCCCGCCGGGGGAGUACGGUCGCAAGGCUGAAACUUAAAGGAAUUGGCGGGGAGGCACCACCAGGCGUGGAGCGUGUGGUUCAAUUGGAUUCAACGCCGGGAAACUUACCAGGGGAGACAGCUGGAUGAGGGACAGGCUGAUGGCCUUUCCUGACUAGCUGAGAGGUGCUGCAUGGCCGUCGCCAGCUCGUGCCGUGAGGUGUCCGGUUAAGUCCGGCAACGAGCGAGACCCGUGCCCCCAGUUGCCAAGGAGCCCUUCGGGGCUGCCGGGUACUCUGGGGGGACCGCCAGCGUUUAAGCUGGAGGAAGGAGCGGGCCACGGCAGGUCAGUAUAGCCCGAAUCCCUUGGGCCACACACGCGCUACAAUGGCCGGGACAGUGGGAUGCAACUCCGAAAGGAGAAGCCAAUCCCUAAACCCGGUCGCAGUUGGGAUCGAGGGUUGCAACCCACCCUUCGUGAACGUGGAAUGCCUAGUACGGGCGUGUCAACAUAGCGCCCGGAAUACGUCCCCGCCUCUUGCACACACCGCCCGUCGUUCCA
RNAcentral lists this ribosomal RNA (1352 nucleotides) under unidentified archaeon. Its description in RNAcentral is "16S ribosomal RNA". It matches the Rfam family "Archaeal small subunit ribosomal RNA", at positions 33 to 1360 of the family's 1478-position model. The record is from RNAcentral.